UGAGCCAUGCGUCCAGCCAGAAGUUGAUAAAAAAAAAAAAAAAAGGAAAACAACAAAACUGAAGCUCUUCCAAUACCCGAGUAUGAUACUUAUUGUAAAACCACUGAUGGCCAGGAGUGGUGGCUCACACCUGUAAUCCCUUUGGGAGGCUGAGGCAGGAGUUCAACACCACACUAUUCCACAUAGUGAGACCCUAUCUCUACAAAAAAAAUGUAAAAAUUAGCAAGAUCUGGUGGUGCAUGCCUACAGUCCCAGCUACUUAGGAGGCUAUGGCAAGAGGCUCAGUCGAGCCCAGAUGUUCGAGGUUACAUUGAGCUAUGAUUGUGCCACUACACUCCAGCCUGGGCAACAGAAUGAGACUCUGCCUCAAAUAAAACUACAAUAAUCAAUAGUGUCAUAUUGGUGUAAAGCCAUACACACAAGAUGAGGAACAGACCACGUCCAUGUCACUUAAGUUGGAAAAGUGGAGUCUUUCAACAAAUAGAACUGAAACAAGCAACUAUCCAACAGA
Long non-coding RNA from Cebus imitator (Panamanian white-faced capuchin), 511 nucleotides. RefSeq lists it as uncharacterized. The transcript is spliced from 2 exons. NCBI's taxonomy places the organism in Eukaryota, Metazoa, Chordata, Mammalia, Primates, Cebidae. The record is from RefSeq and is a predicted model, not a curated record.